UGCGCAGGCGGGAAAGUAAGUUAGAGGUGAAAUCUCACAGCUCAACUGUGAAACUGCCUUUGAUACUGCUUUUCUUGAGUUAGGGAGAGGUUGAUGGAAUUCCAGGUGUAGCGGUGAAAUGCGUAGAUAUCUGGAAGAACACCGGUGGCGAAGGCGGUCAACUGGCCCUAAACUGACGCUCAGGCACGAAAGCGUGGGAUCAAACA
This 206-nucleotide ribosomal RNA is filed under the name uncultured bacterium. RNAcentral describes it as "partial 16S ribosomal RNA". It matches the Rfam family "Bacterial small subunit ribosomal RNA", at positions 568 to 774 of the family's 1533-position model. The record is from RNAcentral.